UCCGGUUUGACACCGGCAGUCUCGCUAGAGUCCUCGCCAUUACGCGUUAGCAACUAGCGACAAGGGUUGCGCUCGUUAAGGGACUUAACCCGACACUUCACAGCACGAGCUGACGACAGCCAUGCAGCACCUGUGCACGUUCCACUCUUGCGAGUGUGGCCGAUGUUUCCACCGGUUAAUCCGUGCAUGUCAAACCCAGGUAAGGUUCUUCGCGUUGCUUCGAAUUAGGCAACAUGCUCCACCGCUUGUGUGAGCCCCCGUCAAUUCCUUUGAGUUUUAGCCUUGCGGCCGUACUCCCCAGGCGGGGUGCUUAAUGCGUUAGCUACGGCACGGAAGGAGUCGACACCUCCCACACCUAGCACCCAUCGUUUACGGCGUGGACUAC
Molecule: unclassified non-coding RNA, 385 nt
Filed under: uncultured bacterium
Lineage: Bacteria
Description: contains 16S-23S intergenic spacer region
Source: RNAcentral